This 430-nucleotide ribosomal RNA is filed under the name uncultured bacterium. Its description in RNAcentral is "partial 16S ribosomal RNA". It matches the Rfam family "Bacterial small subunit ribosomal RNA", at positions 29 to 507 of the family's 1533-position model. The record is from RNAcentral.
AACGAACGCUGGCGGCAGGCCUAACACAUGCCAGUCGAACGCCCCGCAAGGGGAGUGGCAGACGGGUGAGUAACACGUGGGAACCUUCCCUAUAGUACGGAAUAGCCCAGGGAAACUUGGAGUAAUACCGUAUACGCCCGAAAGGGGAAAGAAUUUCGCUAUAGGAUGGGCCCGCGUAGGAUUAGCUAGUUGGUGAGGUAAUGGCUCACCAAGGCGACGAUCCUUAGCUGGUUUGAGAGAACGACCAGCCACACUGGGACUGAGACACGGCCCAGACUCCUACGGGAGGCAGCAGUGGGGAAUAUUGGACAAUGGGCGCAAGCCUGAUCCAGCCAUGCCGCGUGAGUGAUGAAGGCCUUAGGGUUGUAAAGCUCUUUUGGCGGGGACGAUAAUGACGGUACCCGCAGAAUAAGUCCCGGCUAACUUCGUG